Molecule: small nuclear RNA, 18 nt
Filed under: Arabidopsis thaliana (thale cress)
Lineage: Eukaryota; Viridiplantae; Streptophyta; Magnoliopsida; Brassicales; Brassicaceae
Description: snRNA_15792
Source: RNAcentral
ACCGAGCGGCGGGUAGAA